This 433-nucleotide ribosomal RNA is filed under the name uncultured bacterium. RNAcentral's name for it is "partial 16S ribosomal RNA". It matches the Rfam family "Bacterial small subunit ribosomal RNA", at positions 29 to 507 of the family's 1533-position model. The record is from RNAcentral.
AACGAACGCUGGCGGCAGGCCUAACACAUGCAAGUCGAACGAAGUCUUCGGACUUAGUGGCGCACGGGUGAGUAACACGUGGGAAUAUACCCUACGCUGGGGGAUAACAUCGGGAAACUGAUGCUAAUACCGCAUACGCCCUUCGGCGGAACGAUUUAUUGGCGAAAGAUUAGCCAGCGUCCGAUUAGCUAGUUGGUGAGGUAAUGGCUCACCAAGGCUCCGAUCGGUAACUUGGUAGAGAGGAUGACGAGCCACACCCGGACUGAGACACGGCCCAGAAACCUACGGGAGUGAGCGGUAGGGAAUAGGAGCCACUGGGCGUAAGUCUUGACGAGCCAUGGAGCGUGAAUGUUUAAUGCCUUGGGGUUGUAAAGCUCUAUCUACCAGGACGCUGAUGGCGGUAGUGUGAGAAGAAGCCCCGGCUAACUUCGUG